AUCACUUCUCGGCCUUUUGGCUAAGAUCAAGUGUAAAAUGUACCAAUAAAAGGAUAUACAGUUUUUUAAAAAACUACAUCUCAAUAAAAUUGUCACUUAAG
Heterocephalus glaber (naked mole-rat) is the source of this 101-nucleotide small nuclear RNA. Its record names the gene U2. It matches the Rfam family "U2 spliceosomal RNA". Rfam says of the family: U2 is a small nuclear RNA (snRNA) component of the spliceosome (involved in pre-mRNA splicing). Lineage: Eukaryota; Metazoa; Chordata; Mammalia; Rodentia; Bathyergidae. The record is from Ensembl.